This 253-nucleotide ribosomal RNA is filed under the name uncultured bacterium. RNAcentral describes it as "partial 16S ribosomal RNA". It matches the Rfam family "Bacterial small subunit ribosomal RNA", at positions 524 to 776 of the family's 1533-position model. The record is from RNAcentral.
UACGGAGGGAGCUAGCGUUGUUCGGAAUUACUGGGCGUAAAGCGCACGUAGGCGGCUUUGUAAGUUAGAGGUGAAAGCCCGGGGCUCAACCCCGGAAUUGCCUUUAAGACUGCAUCGCUUGAAUCCGGGAGAGGUGAGUGGAAUUCCGAGUGUAGAGGUGAAAUCCGUAGAUAUUCGGAAGAACACCAGUGGCGAAGGCGGCUCACUGGACCGGUAUUGACGCUGAGGUGCGAAAGCGUGGGGAGCAAACAGG